Molecule: ribosomal RNA, 883 nt
Filed under: Colletotrichum pleopeltidis
Lineage: Eukaryota; Fungi; Ascomycota; Sordariomycetes; Glomerellales; Glomerellaceae
Description: partial large subunit ribosomal RNA
Rfam family: Eukaryotic large subunit ribosomal RNA
Source: RNAcentral
GGAAAAGAAACCAACAGGGAUUGCCCCAGUAACGGCGAGUGAAGCGGCAACAGCUCAAAUUUGAAAUCUGGCCCCAGGCCCGAGUUGUAAUUUGCAGAGGAUGCUUUUGGCGCGGUGCCUUCCGAGUUCCCUGGAACGGGACGCCAUAGAGGGUGAGAGCCCCGUACGGUUGGACACCAAGCCUUUGUAAAGCUCCUUCGACGAGUCGAGUAGUUUGGGAAUGCUGCUCAAAAUGGGAGGUAUAUUUCUUCUAAAGCUAAAUAUUGGCCAGAGACCGAUAGCGCACAAGUAGAGUGAUCGAAAGAUGAAAAGCACUUUGAAAAGAGGGUUAAACAGCACGUGAAAUUGUUAAAAGGGAAGCGCUUGUGACCAGACUUGCGUCCGGUGAAUCACCCAGCUCUCGCGGCUGGGGCACUUCGCCGGCACAGGCCAGCAUCAGCUUGCCGUCGGGGACAAAAGCUUCAGGAACGUAGCUCUCUUCGGGGAGUGUUAUAGCCUGUUGCAUAAUACCCUUCGGCGGGCUGAGGUACGCGCUCCGCAAGGAUGCUGGCGUAAUGGUCAUCAGCGACCCGUCUUGAAACACGGACCAAGGAGUCAACCUUAUGUGCGAGUGUUUGGGUGUUAAACCCCUACGCGUAAUGAAAGUGAACGCAGGUGAGAGCUUCGGCGCAUCAUCGACCGAUCCUGAUGUUCUCGGAUGGAUUUGAGUAAGAGCAUAUAGGGUUGGACCCGAAAGAAGGUGAACUAUGCGUGUGUAGGGUGAAGCCAGAGGAAACUCUGGUGGAGGCUCGCAGCGGUUCUGACGUGCAAAUCGAUCGUCAAACAUGCGCAUGGGGGGCGAAAGACUAAUCGAACCCUUCUAGUAGCUGGGUUUCCGCCGAAG